GAUGAACGCUAGCGGCAGGCUUAACACAUGCAAGUCGAGGGGUAACAGGGUUGCUUGCAAUCGCUGACGACCGGCGCACAGGUGCGUAACGCGUAUAGAACCUACCUUUUACUGAGGGAUAGCCUUUAGAAAUGAAGAUUAAUACCCCAUAGAUCUUGAUCAUCGCAUGAUGCAUCAGGAUAAAGAUUGAUUGGUAAAAGAUGGCUAUGCGUCUUAUUAGCUAGAUGGUAAGGUAACGGCUUACCAUUGCAACGAUAAGUAGGGCCCGGAGAGGGGAUCCCCACACUGGUACUGAGACACGGA
This 303-nucleotide ribosomal RNA is filed under the name uncultured Bacteroidota bacterium. RNAcentral describes it as "bacterial SSU rRNA". It matches the Rfam family "Bacterial small subunit ribosomal RNA", at positions 28 to 330 of the family's 1533-position model. The record is from RNAcentral. Lineage: Bacteria; Pseudomonadati; Bacteroidota.